RNAcentral lists this ribosomal RNA (497 nucleotides) under uncultured bacterium. RNAcentral's name for it is "partial 16S ribosomal RNA". It matches the Rfam family "Bacterial small subunit ribosomal RNA", at positions 28 to 507 of the family's 1533-position model. The record is from RNAcentral.
GAUGAACGCUGGCGGCGUGCCUAAUACAUGCAAGUCGAGCGAACAGACGAGGAGCUUGCUCCUCUGACGUUAGCGGCGGACGGGUGAGUAACACGUGGAUAACCUACCUAUAAGACUGGGAUAACUUCGGGAAACCGGAGCUAAUACCGGAUAAUAUAUUGAACCGCAUGGUUCAAUAGUGAAAGACGGUUUUGCUGCCACUUAUAGAUGGAUCCGCGCCGCAUUAGCCAGUUGGUAAGGUAACGGCUUACCAAGGCAACGAUGCGUAGCCGACCUGAGAGGGUGAUCGGCCACACUGGAACUGAGACACGGUCCAGACUCCUACGGGAGGCAGCAGUAGGGAAUCUUCCGCAAUGGGCGAAAGCCUGACGGAGCAACGCCGCGUGAGUGAUGAAGGUCUUCGGAUCGUAAAACUCUGUUAUUAGGGAAGAACAAAUGUGUAAGUAACUAUGCACGUCUUGACGGUACCUAAUCAGAAAGCCACGGCUAACUACGUG